GUAGCCAAACCAAUACUACUCUACGGAGUCACAGUAUGGUGGCCGGCUCUGUCAAAAAAUACAAUCACCCUUUGCAUCAGUGGCUCACCGGCUCUCAGUAGAAGGAGGCUAAGAUUCUAGGCUCACGUUUUCUAAACGACAUUUCAUAAAUGGCUACUAUAGGCCCCAGGAAGAUAGCAAACUUUGUAAAAGCAUCUGGAUGGGAGCACUGCUGACACCGGGACAAACGGGAGGAGAAGAGGAAUUAGAUCCAAGCGGAAUUACAACGGGCCGAAACCGGCCUAAGUGUGUCGGGAUUGCAAAAUCUCGACAACCGCCUCAACCUAACCUAACCUAACAAUUGCACGUGUUUUCUAUGGAACAUUACUUUUGCACAGCACACCACUGCACAGAGGUUCAAGUUACAUGUUAUUAACCAAAUAUUAAUAAAUCACGUGGUGUUAAUGCUUUUUGGUCGUUUUUGCCCUUUUUCGAACAAUUUUAAAUUUUUGCAGAUGCUUAUGAGUUCACUCAUGCAGAGCUGCUGGAGGUCUGGACAAACAACAAUCGUGAAGCAGAAGCAAUAAAAUGUUAUAGUUUAAAGAGUAUUGACCAAAACUGAGUAACUAAGAUGAAAC
This 617-nucleotide long non-coding RNA is filed under the name Drosophila guanche. The record is from RNAcentral. Lineage: Eukaryota; Metazoa; Arthropoda; Insecta; Diptera; Drosophilidae.